This 584-nucleotide ribosomal RNA is filed under the name uncultured bacterium. RNAcentral's name for it is "bacterial SSU rRNA". It matches the Rfam family "Bacterial small subunit ribosomal RNA", at positions 338 to 916 of the family's 1533-position model. The record is from RNAcentral.
CCUACGGGAGGCAGCAGUGGGGAAUUUUGGACAAUGGGCGCAAGCCUGAUCCAGCAAUGCCGCGUGAGUGAAGAAGGCCUUCGGGUUGUAAAGCUCUUUUGUCAGGGAAGAAACGGUUCGGGUUAAUACCUUGGGCUAAUGACGGUACCUGAAGAAUAAGCACCGGCUAACUACGUGCCAGCAGCCGCGGUAAUACGUAGGAUGCAAGCGUUAAUCGGAAUUACUGGGCGUAAAGCGUGCGCAGGCGGUUGUGCAAGACAGAUGUGAAAUCCCCGGGCUCAACCUGGGAAUUGCAUUUGUGACUGUACGGCUAGAGUGUGUCAGAGGGGGGUAGAAUUCCACGUGUAGCAGUGAAAUGCGUAGAGAUGUGGAGGAAUACCGAUGGCGAAGGCAGCCCCCUGGGAUAACACUGACGCUCAUGCACGAAAGCGUGGGGAGCAAACAGGAUUAGAUACCCUGGUAGUCCACGCCCUAAACGAUGUCUACUAGUUGUCGGGUCUUUAUUGACUUGGUAACGCAGCUAACGCGUGAAGUAGACCGCCUGGGGAUACGGUCGCAAGAUUAAAACGCAAAGGAAUUGACGG